UGAGCCAAACGAAUAUGGUUUGACGUCAGGAAUCUUUUUUUACAGUGUAGUUGUCUGUUCUACAAAAACUACAAAAAUGAUCAUGUUAUUAUUGCUUAAACAAUAAUCAACGCUUAGGUUAUUUUUUUUUAUGUUAUUGAAUCUUUUAUUAGUUAUUUAGUUUUCAAAGUAACAACCAUUGUCAUACAUUUCAUUUUAAACAAAAAAACUUUGCAAUUUAAUAAUAUUUUUGGAAUUUAAAAUAAAAUAUUACAAAUAUUUAAGAACAGAACAAAAAUGGAACAUCAUACAUUGAAAACAGUAGAGAUUAACCACAGAGGUUGUUGCCAAUACUGAAAAAUAAAAAUCGCCCAAUUUGCGAUAAAUCGCCCAAUCUGGCAACCCUGGAUAUGACAAUAUUUAUUGGGAACCUUAGAAUUUUGAUACGCCAACUGAUGGCUAAAGUUAAAACUGCUCAAAGUAGGCUAAAUCAUGAAUGUUUACAUGUGUCUAGACGUCUAUCAGCUGAUAUAAAUAGUAAAUACUUAAAUUAUUGAGUUUUUAUGAAUUAAAAAAUUAUUUUCGUUUAAUUUAAAAAAAAUUUCCAAUUUAUAAACAUGUGAUUUCCAUCAACAACAAAUAAAAGUAACAUAUAUUGUUUGUAUGGCUGUAAAAGUCGUGUUUCUAAAAAUGACAGUGUUCUUUUUUUCAUGUUCCUCAAAAAAUUGAAAUUGUUGUGACUGAAAAAUAAAUUGGAUCAAGAAGAAAAAUUCGACCGUUUUGAUGUUUGCUGUUUUGCUACCACGCACUUACAUGUACCAUCAAACCAACUUAACAAGAAAAAAUAUCCACGAUUCUUCCACCUUUAAGAACUUCAGCAUUUAUUUUAUCCGGAUCAUCUUGAAUACUUGAUGAUUAAGGGGCACACCUAGUGUGAAAUUUCAAAAAAAUCGAUUUGUUUUUUUUUUUUUUCAUAUUUCGGUAGAUUACAUUUUUAAAAAUAACAUAUUAAAAUUUCAAAUUGAUAUCUCAAAUAGUUUUUGAGUUAUAGCCAUUUAAAGUGCAGCCGCUCGACAGAUAGAAAUAUUGAGACAAUUACGUAUACGUAUAAUAAUGACAAUAAUGUUGUGAUUGACCCAUCUCAUGAAUAUUGUAUUUUACAAUUUAUAUCAGUUUUCAGUAUAAUUAGUAAUUUAUUGGUGUGUAAAACCUGGAAUAGCAGAUUAGCUAUUUCAUCCACGGAGAAGGCCGGAAUUACGUAAUGCAGUAUACUGCAGCAGCGGAGGACCUUUUUUUUCGCCCCGUCGGAGAUCGUGCAUAACUUAAAAAAUAUCUAAUUUUUUUCUUCAAAAAUUUCGCUGUAUAUUCUUAAAACAUGUAUAACUAUACUCCUAAAAUUUUGAAACAAUUAAUAAAGUAGUUUUUUUAAUAAAAAUUCCCAAAAAUCACUUUCUUUUAGGCCGUCACACUAGGUGUGCCUCUUAAAGACAAAAAGUAAUAAUUUUUAAACAAUUAUUGUCCUCGCUAACCUUACCAAAGUUCAACAAGUGUCCGUGAUUUAUUAUAUUUUUAUCGCCGAUAAAAUUUUUAC
Molecule: long non-coding RNA, 1570 nt
Organism: Microplitis mediator
Lineage: Eukaryota; Metazoa; Arthropoda; Insecta; Hymenoptera; Braconidae
Exons: 4
Source: RefSeq, a predicted model, not a curated record